UGCAUGGCUGAGCUGUGUCUCACGGGUGGCUCCCGUGUGGUUCAUGUGUGGUUCAAGCAUGGAACAUGUGUGUUUCACAGGUUCUUCAGAUGGGGUUCAAGGAUGUCUCCCAAGUGCUUCUUGCCUGGCUCACAGAUGGUUCAGGUGUAAAUCAGGCGUGGAUCUCACAUGACUCAUCUGGGUCACAUAUGGUAUAGGACACUUUCACACGUGGUUCAGGCAUAGCUCAGCCAUGGCUCACACGUGACGCAGGCCUGCCACAGAACUGGCUCCUAUGUGGCUGUCACAUGAUACAGGCUUUGGUCACGCAUGCAUCACACAUGGUUCAGGUGUGGCACAUGCAUGUUUGUGGUGUGGGUCAUGCGUGGCUCACAUGUGUUUUAGGCAUGUGUGGCACGUGGUUCAGGCAUGGCAGGCAAGUUGUGCCAGUGUGGCUGACACGUGCUUCAAGUGAGGCUGACCUGUGGUUCAAGAGUGAGUGGCACUUUGUUCAGGCAUGGCUGGCCCGUCACUUGGUGCUGGGAAACCUUGACACAGGCGUGGUUCCCACGUUGUUCAGGAGAGGCUGACACCUGACGCACGUGAGGUGGAAACCGUGACACAGGCGUGCCUGACACGUCACUCAGGUGUAGUUCACACAAGGUUCAUGCAUGGCAUUCCUGUGGUUCAGGUGUUGCUGGUGCCUGGUGCAAACAUGUGUGGCAGGUGGCUCAGGCGUGGCUGAAAUGUGCCUGUGGCAUGUGCGAAACAGGACUCCGGUGUGGUUGACACAUGUGUUAGGCAUGGCUUACAUGUGACUCAGGCAUUCAUGGCCCAGUAUCCAUGUUUGACGGAAAUGAGAUGAGGCAGGAGUCACAUGCCGUACAUGGGUGGCUCCCACGUGCCUACAGUGUGCUGAAACGUGGCUCCCACAUACUCAGUCAUGGCUGCCACGUGGCUCACGCAUGGCUCAGCUGUGUUUCACGGGUGGCUCCCCUGUGGUUCAUGCUUAUUUCAAGCAUAUAACAUGUGUGUUUCACAGGUUCUUCACAUGGGGUUCAAGGGUGUCUCCCAUGUGGUUCCUGCAUGGCUCACACAUGGUUCGGGUGUAAUUCAGGUGUGGAUCUCACAUGACUCGUCUGGGUCACAUAUGGUUGAGGACACUCUCACACGUGGUUCAGGCAUAGCUCAGCCAUGGCUCACACGUCACACAGGUGUGCCACAGAACUGGCUCCCUUGUGGCUGACACAUGAUACAGGCAUUGGUCACGCAUGGCUCACACAUGGUUCAGCUGUGGCUCAUGCAUGUGUGUGGUGUUGGUC
RNAcentral lists this long non-coding RNA (1301 nucleotides) under Equus caballus (horse). RNAcentral's name for it is "lncRNA (ENSECAG00000047021.1)". Lineage: Eukaryota; Metazoa; Chordata; Mammalia; Perissodactyla; Equidae. The record is from RNAcentral.